GAAUAAAUGAAAGGAGGAGUUUGUCUGACUGUCAACCUACGUGCACCAAACAGGUGGAGGACUGUACACACACCUGUGGAGGAUGUAGAGGACCAUCUCUUUACUUCCUGCACUGGCAGCGUGAUGACGUCACCUGCAGCCGGACGAGUCGAGUGACGUGAGGGGCAGCCUGACCAAAACAAGAUGAAGAGCUGUUAACAUGUAUGCUACACCACGCUGCCUCACCUGUUUCAACAUCUGGUGUUUCCUCGCUCUGAGAACUCUGAUCUGUGCUGCAGCUGGAAGGAUUUUCUUUGGAUUAAAGUUUACCUG
Long non-coding RNA from Labrus mixtus (cuckoo wrasse), 312 nucleotides. RefSeq lists it as uncharacterized. The transcript is spliced from 3 exons. The record is from RefSeq and is a predicted model, not a curated record. NCBI's taxonomy places the organism in Eukaryota, Metazoa, Chordata, Actinopteri, Labriformes, Labridae.